GACGAACGCUGGCGGCGUGCUUACCACAUGCAAGUCGAACGAUGAAGCCUAGCUUGCUAGGUGGAUUAGUGGCGAACGGGUGAGUAAUACGUGAGUAACCUACCUUUAACUCUGGGAUAAGCCUGGGAAACCGGGUCUAAUACCGGAUACGACCAAUCUCCGCAUGGGUGUUGGUGGAAAGCGUUAUGUAGUGGUUAUAGAUGGGCUCACGGCCUAUCAGCUUGUUGGUGAGGUAACGGCUCACCAAGGCGACGACGGGUAGCCGGCCUGAGAGGGUGACCGGCCACACUGGGACUGAGACACGGCCCAGACUCCUACGGGAGGCAGCAGUGGGGAAUAUUGCACAAUGGGCGCAAGCCUGAUGCAGCGACGCCGCGUGAGGGAUGACGGCCUUCGGGUUGUAAACCUCUGUUAGCAGGGAAGAAGAGAGAUUGGCGGUACCUGCAGAGAAAGCGCCGGCUAACUACGUGCCAGCAGCCGCGGUAAUACGUAGGGCGCGAGCGUUGUCCGGAAUUAUUGGGCGUAAAGAGCUUGUAGGCGGUUUGUCGCGUCUGCUGUGAAGGCCGGGGCUUAACCCCGUGUAUUGCAGUGGGUACGGGCAGACUAGAGUGCAGUAGGGGAGACUGGAAUUCCUGGUGUAGCGGUGGAAUGCGCAGAUAUCAGGAGGAACACCGAUGGCGAAGGCAGGUCUCUGGGCUGUAACUGACGCUGAGAAGCGAAAGCAUGGGGAGCGAACAGGAUUAGAUACCCUGGUAGUCCAUGCCGUAAACGUUGGGCACUAGGUGUGGGGGACAUUCCACGUUUUCCGCGCCGUAGCUAACGCAUUAAGUGCCCCGCCUGGGGAGUACGGCCGCAAGGCUAAAACUCAAAGAAAUUGACGGGGGCCCGCACAAGCGGCGGAGCAUGCGGAUUAAUUCGAUGCAACGCGAAGAACCUUACCAAGGCUUGACAUAUACUGGACCGCAUCAGAGAUGGUGUUUCCCUUCGGGGCUGGUAUACAGGUGGUGCAUGGUUGUCGUCAGCUCGUGUCGUGAGAUGUUGGGUUAAGUCCCGCAACGAGCGCAACCCUCGUUCUAUGUUGCCAGCACGUUAUGGUGGGGACUCAUAGGAGACUGCCGGGGUCAACUCGGAGGAAGGUGGGGAUGACGUCAAAUCAUCAUGCCCCUUAUGUCUUGGGCUUCACGCAUGCUACAAUGGCCGGUACAGAGGGUUGCGAUACUGUGAGGUGGAGCUAAUCCCUAAAAGCCGGUCUCAGUUCGGAUUGGGGUCUGCAACUCGACCCCAUGGAGUCGGAGUCGCUAGUAAUCGCAGAUCAGCAACGCUGCGGUGAAUACGUUCCCGGGCCU
This 1346-nucleotide ribosomal RNA is filed under the name uncultured bacterium. RNAcentral describes it as "bacterial SSU rRNA". It matches the Rfam family "Bacterial small subunit ribosomal RNA", at positions 28 to 1381 of the family's 1533-position model. The record is from RNAcentral.